Long non-coding RNA from Microtus oregoni (creeping vole), 256 nucleotides. RefSeq lists it as uncharacterized. The transcript is spliced from 3 exons. NCBI's taxonomy places the organism in Eukaryota, Metazoa, Chordata, Mammalia, Rodentia, Cricetidae. The record is from RefSeq and is a predicted model, not a curated record.
GCAGAGAAGACAGUACUGAAUGCUGGGAGGAAGAAGGGAGGAGUCAGGAGACGCCAUGGAUCUCCCCUGCCAGAAUAAGACUGAAACUUAGCCGACUCUGCUUCCUUCUCUUGUACAAGGAAAAAUAUGUUGAUGAGCUCAAAGCAACAGAUACUUUUUUCCAUCCUGAAGUCAUGCCCUGGCUCACAGAACCAUGCUGGUCCUCUCCCCUUUGCAACUCCAGCACCUGUGGUCCAGCAUCUGCCCCAAAACGUGG